This is a long non-coding RNA of Spea bombifrons (plains spadefoot toad), 325 nucleotides long. RefSeq lists it as uncharacterized. The record is from RefSeq and is a predicted model, not a curated record. The transcript has 4 exons. NCBI's taxonomy places the organism in Eukaryota, Metazoa, Chordata, Amphibia, Anura, Pelobatidae.
UCAGUGCAAAAGGAGUGACGGGGGAGGGACACGGACACUCAUCCGACAGCAGAGAGGGCAAGACAACAUGGACAAAUCUUCAACCAACCAGGCGAAAGGGGCAACCCCGAAGAAAAUAAUAACCACCAAGGGGAUAAAAAAUGGAUCCUCGUCUCAGUCUCCAAAAGAUACCUCCCGGCCUGCGACCUCAAGGACUGUAGGUACUGCAUCAAAGCCUUCAGCCAUCAAAACAACAUUGGUGGUAAAAGAAGCAGCACUCACAAAAUCUGCUGCGGGCAGGGCCGUCGCUUCACCCAAGAGAACAAACUCAGUGCCAGAUGGAGGU